CACCGCUGUUCGCCUUUCAGCUGUUGAUACGAAUAAGUCGGUCAGGAAUUUGCAGUCAUGGCAUUUAAAGACACUGGCAAGGCUCCCGUUGAAGCCGAGGUGGCCAUUCACCGUAUCAGGAUCACUCUGACCAGCCGUAACGUCAAGUCUCUGGAAAAGGUGUGUGCUGAUUUGAUCCGAGGUGCCAAGGAGAAGAGUCUUAAGGUGAAGGGGCCUGUGCGUAUGCCUACCAAGACCCUCCGCAUCACUACUCGCAAGACUCCUUGUGGUGAAGGUUCCAAGACCUGGGACAGAUUCCAGAUGAGGAUCCACAAGCGCCUCAUCGAUCUGCACAGUCCAUCUGAGAUCGUCAAGCAGAUCACCAGCAUCAGCAUUGAGCCUGGUGUUGAGGUGGAGGUCACAAUUGCAGAUGCUUAAUUGCUGUCUGCACAAUUAAUCAGCUUUGUAUUUCACAUCUGAUUAAUAAAAUUGGAAGUUUUGG
This is a non-coding RNA of Danio rerio (zebrafish), 481 nucleotides long. Ensembl annotates it as ribosomal protein S20. Its record names the gene rps20. Lineage: Eukaryota; Metazoa; Chordata; Actinopteri; Cypriniformes; Danionidae. The record is from Ensembl.